AUUGAACGCUGGCGGCAUGCCUUACACAUGCAAGUCGAACGGCAGCACGGGAGCAAUCCUGGUGGCGAGUGGCGAACGGGUGAGUAAAGUAUCGGAACGUGCCCAGUCGUGGGGGAUAACGUAGCGAAAGUUACGAUAAUACCGCAUAAGGUCUAUGGAUGAAAGCGGGGGCUCGCAAGACCUCGAGCAAUUGGAGGGGCCGAUAUCAGAUUAGGUAGUUGGUGGGGUAAAGGCUCACCAAGCCGGCGAUCUGUAGCUGGUUUGAGAGGACGAACAGCCACACUGGGACUGAGACACGGCCCAGACUCCUACGGGAGGCAGCAGUGGGGAAUUUUGGACAAUGGGCGAAAGCCUGAUCCAGCCAUGCCGCGUGCAGGAUGAAGGCCUUCGGGUUGUAAACUGCUUAUGUACGGAACGAAAAGGUUUGGCCUAAUAAGCUGAGCUCAUGACGGUACCGUAAGAAUAAGCACCGGCUAACUACGUGCCAGCAGCCGCCGUAA
This 500-nucleotide ribosomal RNA is filed under the name uncultured bacterium. Its description in RNAcentral is "partial 16S ribosomal RNA". It matches the Rfam family "Bacterial small subunit ribosomal RNA", at positions 30 to 523 of the family's 1533-position model. The record is from RNAcentral.